This 497-nucleotide ribosomal RNA is filed under the name uncultured bacterium. RNAcentral's name for it is "partial 16S ribosomal RNA". It matches the Rfam family "Bacterial small subunit ribosomal RNA", at positions 28 to 523 of the family's 1533-position model. The record is from RNAcentral.
GACGAACGCUGGCGGCGCGCCUAACACAUGCAAGUCGAACGGAGCUUACAGACGGAAGUUUUCGGAUGGAAGGCUGUAAGCUUAGUGGCGGACGGGUGAGUAACACGUGAGCAACCUGCCUAUCAGAGGGGGAUAACGAUUGGAAACGAUCGCUAAUACCGCAUGACAUAGCGGAAUCGCAUGGUUCUGUUAUCAAAGAUUUUAUCGCUGAUAGAUGGGCUCGCGUCCGAUUGGAUAGUUGGUGGGGUAAUGGCCUACCAAGUCGACGAUCGGUAGCCGGAAUGGGAGGUCGGACGGCCACAUUGGGACUGAGACACGGCCCAGACUCCUACGGGAGGCAGCAGUGGGGGAUAUUGCACAAUGGGGGAAACCCUGAUGCAGCGACGCCGCGUGAGGGAAGACGGUCCUCUGGAUUGUAAACCUCUGUCUUCGGGGACGAGACGAGACGGUACCCGAGGAGGAAGCCACGGCUAACUACGUGCCAGCCGCCGCAGUAA